ACGAACGCUGGCGGCAUGCCUAACACAUGCAAGUCGAACGGGAACCGGGGAGCAAUCCCUGGGGAGAGUGGCGCACGGGUGAGUAACACGUAGGUAACGUUCCCUUUGGUUCGGAAUAACUUGCCGAAAGGCGGGCUAAUACCGGAUGAGCCUCUCGGGGGUUCGCCCCUGGGAGGGAAAGCAGCAAUGCGCCGAUGGAUCGGCCUGCGGCCCAUCAGCUAGUUGGUGAGGUAACGGCUCACCAAGGCUACGACGGGUAGCUGGUCUGAGAGGACGAUCAGCCACACUGGGACUGAGACACGGCCCAGACUCCUACGGGAGGCAGCAGUGGGGAAUAUUGGUCAAUGGGCGAAAGCCUGAACCAGCAAUGCCGCGUGGGUGAUGAAGGCCUUCGGGUUGUAAAGCCCUGUCGGGAGGGACGAAAAAACGGGUAACCGGCUUGACGGUACCUCCAAAGGAAGCACCGGCUAACUCUGU
This 477-nucleotide ribosomal RNA is filed under the name uncultured bacterium. Its description in RNAcentral is "bacterial SSU rRNA". It matches the Rfam family "Bacterial small subunit ribosomal RNA", at positions 29 to 506 of the family's 1533-position model. The record is from RNAcentral.